RNAcentral lists this long non-coding RNA (269 nucleotides) under Solanum tuberosum (potato). RNAcentral's name for it is "long non-coding RNA (STUB_LNC000527)". The record is from RNAcentral. Lineage: Eukaryota; Viridiplantae; Streptophyta; Magnoliopsida; Solanales; Solanaceae.
AAUAAAAAUGGGAGGGAGAGUUAAAAAUAUUGGAGGGAAUAGAAUAUUUUAGUGAAAAUUUUAAAGCCACACUUAUAAUGUGUUGUUUUUUCAAUUAUAAAAAUAGGACACUUUAAAAGUGUGGCCAUAUAUGUAAAUAGGUGUUGCCAAUUAUAUCAUAUUGUAACAACAUUUAUAAAGUGUAGCUUAUACCAUUAAAGAGUACACUUUUGAAGUGUUGUCAAUAUUAUCGUAACUAAAAGUUAAAAACUUUGGCUACGCUUUAAAAG